CCAGCAGCUGCGGUAAUUCCAGCUCUAAUAGCGUAUAUUUAAGUUGUUGCAGUUAAAAAGCUCGUAGUUGGAUUUCGGGCGGGUGACGGCGGUCCGCCUCUGGUGUGCACUGCUGCUCAUCCGCCUUGCUGUCGGGGACGGGCUCCUGGGCUUCACUGUCCGGGACCCGGGUUCGACAUGGUUACUUUGAGUAAAUUAGAGUGGUCAAAGCAAGCCUACGCUCUGAAUACGUUAGCAUGGAAUAACAUGAUAGGACUCUGGCCUAUCUUGUUGGUCUGUAGGACUGGAGUAAUGAUUAAGAGGGACAGUCGGGGGCAUUCGUAUUGCGCUGUCUGAGGUGAAAUUCUUGGAUUUGCGCAAGACGAACAUCUGCGAAAGCAUUUGCCAAGGAUGUUUUCAUUGAUCAAGAACGAAAGU
Molecule: ribosomal RNA, 417 nt
Filed under: uncultured eukaryote
Lineage: Eukaryota
Description: SSU rRNA
Rfam family: Eukaryotic small subunit ribosomal RNA
Source: RNAcentral